UACGGAGGGUGCAAGCGUUGCUCGGAAUUACUGGGCGUAAAGCGCACGUAGGUGGGUUCGUAAGUCGAUUGUGAAAGCCCAGGGCUUAACCUUGGAAUUGCAGUCGAAACUGCGAGCCUUGAAUGCCUGAGAGGGUGGGGGAAUUCCCGGUGUAGAUGUGAAAUUCGUAGAUAUCGGGAGGAACACCAGAGACGAAGGUGCCUGCCUGGCGGUGCAUUGACGCUGAGGUGCGAAAGCGUGGGGAGCAAACAGG
This 253-nucleotide ribosomal RNA is filed under the name uncultured bacterium. Its description in RNAcentral is "partial 16S ribosomal RNA". It matches the Rfam family "Bacterial small subunit ribosomal RNA", at positions 524 to 776 of the family's 1533-position model. The record is from RNAcentral.